RNAcentral lists this ribosomal RNA (400 nucleotides) under uncultured bacterium. Its description in RNAcentral is "bacterial SSU rRNA". It matches the Rfam family "Bacterial small subunit ribosomal RNA", at positions 355 to 771 of the family's 1533-position model. The record is from RNAcentral.
UGGGGAAUAUUGCGCAAUGGGGGAAACCCUGACGCAGCAACGCCGCGUGAAGGAUGAAGGUUUUCGGAUUGUAAACUUCUUUAGUCGGGGACGAAACAUGACGGUACCCGAAGAAUAAGCCACGGCUAACUACGUGCCAGCAGCCGCGGUAAUACGUAGGUGGCAAGCGUUGUCCGGAAUUACUGGGUGUAAAGGGCGUGUAGGCGGGGAUGCAAGUCAGAUGUGAAAUUCCGAGGCUCAACCUCGGCGCUGCAUCUGAAACUGUAUCUCUUGAGUGCUGGAGAGGAAAGCGGAAUUCCUAGUGUAGCGGUGAAAUGCGUAGAUAUUAGGAGGAACACCAGUGGCGAAGGCGGCUUUCUGGACAGUAACUGACGCUGAGGCGCGAAAGCGUGGGGAGCAA